Molecule: long non-coding RNA, 1384 nt
Filed under: Homo sapiens (human)
Lineage: Eukaryota; Metazoa; Chordata; Mammalia; Primates; Hominidae
Description: HSALNT0268979
Source: RNAcentral
CUGGAUUGCAGAGGCUUGGAAAACACAGAUGCAUGCCCCUUUGCAGUUAGUAGUUGUCGCGUGGCCUACUUUGGCCCAGUGAGAUUUGGGUAUUAGUUUCUUGGGAGAAUGUUCUUAGGAAAUAAAUGCAAUGCCCUGCUAAAAGAGAAACCCACACCCUUCUUCUUCCCUCCUCCUUCCACCUGAAUUCUAGAAAUGGGACGGAUAUUCAGCUGCUACCACAGAUACGGUGGUGCAGUUGUGAAAAUGCUGAAAGACUUUCCCAUCAGUUGGUAAAUAGCAACUUUCCUGAAUUCCCCAAGUGUCCCUCUUUGUCUUAGUGCCUUGCCCAAGCCCCCUGGAUCUCCCUGUGAUUCUAAAGGGAAAAACUCCUGGAAGAGCAGGGGCCUCCAGAUCUGUACCAUUUGUGAAAUAUUUUAGAUAUCAUGUCCUCCUAGAAGUGAGGGAGGCCACCUUGUAACCAUGAGGUCUCCUCUAAGCACAGGAUGGGGACGUGAUGAAGCCACAGUAGCAGCCCAAGACGUACUCCUGCCUGGCAGCAGCCAUUGUGCUACCCUGACACCUGGCAGCUCAGCUCUCUCGAGCUCCGCUUAGCUCCUGACAGUCUGGUGGAGUGAUAUGAGGACAAGCAGUCACCUGAGCCUCAGAAGAAAGAAGAAUCCAGCAGGCCGCCAUUUUCUCCUCAGUGCCCUUGGCACAACGUGGCUGCCUCAGACCCCCAGCUAUGUAUGUUACAGUAUCGGCCCCAUGAAGAGACCACUUGAAUAAACACAGACCCUUUGUUCCUAAAUGCAAAUUCCAUAGUGACAAAAAACACACCGGGUAAGAUGGUCACUUAUGUUUCGAUCAACCACGGCCAGGGAUGGACUGGGGGAGGGCAACUUCAUUUGCUGCCUAACAGUCACAAUGUUAGUUUUCAAAUGCAAAACAGACUAUGUUACCCUCAUGAUUAAAAUUCUCCAGUGUCUUCUCAUUGCAUUUAUUUAAAAAAUUCAAAUUCUUUUCCAUGUCCUGAAGAACCCUGUCUGACCCAGUCCUUCAGAUCUUUCCUGCUGAACCUCACACCCCUCUCCUCUUCCUUAUUCUUUUUCAGCCUUGUUGGCCUUUUUGUCUGUCCCUUGACCUGAGCCGGUCUUGUUCCCAGCUCACAGGCUUCAUGCUGGCUGUUUCUUUUGCAUGAAACGUGUUGCCAUGUGAUCUUGGCAUUGUCGGCUUCUUCUCAUAAUUCACAUGUCAACUCCCAUGAAUGUCCCAGUCCUGGAGAGGCUAUCCCUGACCAGCCAGCCACUCCCUAUCACAUGAUCUUAAAAUUUCUUUUAUUUUGGUUUUGCAUUUAACAUCUCUCAUUCUUCCCCAACCCCCACACCCCAUGAGAAAAUGUCAG